GACGAACGCUGGCGGCGUGCCUAAUACAUGCAAGUAGAACGCUGAAACUUGGUGCUUGCACCGAGCGGAUGAGUUGCGAACGGGUGAGUAACGCGUAGGUAACCUGCCUGGUAGCGGGGGAUAACUAUUGGAAACGAUAGCUAAUACCGCAUAAGAGUAGAUGUUGCAUGACAUUUGCUUAAAGGUGCAAUUGCACCACUACCAGAUGGACCUGCGUUGUAUUAGCUAGUUGGUGGGGUAACGGCUCACCAAGGCGACGAUACAUAGCCGACCUGAGAGGGUGAUCGGCCACACUGGGACUGAGACACGGCCCAGACUCCUACGGGAGGCAGCAGUAGGGAAUCUUCGGCAAUAGACGGAAGUCUGACCGAGCAACGCCGCGUGAGUGAAGAAGGUUUUCGGAUCGUAAAGCUCUGUUGUAAGAGAAGAACGAGUGUGAGAGUGGAAAGUUCACACUGUGACGGUAUCUUACCAGAAAGGGACGGCUAACUACGUG
Molecule: ribosomal RNA, 496 nt
Filed under: uncultured bacterium
Lineage: Bacteria
Description: partial 16S ribosomal RNA
Rfam family: Bacterial small subunit ribosomal RNA
Source: RNAcentral